RNAcentral lists this ribosomal RNA (253 nucleotides) under uncultured bacterium. RNAcentral describes it as "partial 16S ribosomal RNA". It matches the Rfam family "Bacterial small subunit ribosomal RNA", at positions 524 to 776 of the family's 1533-position model. The record is from RNAcentral.
UACGUAGGGUGCGAGCGUUGUCCGGAUUUAUUGGGCGUAAAGAGCGUGUAGGCGGUCUGGUAGGUCCGUUGUGAAAACUCGAGGCUCAACCUCGAGACGCCGAUGGAAACCAUCAGACUAGAGUCCGGAAGAGGAGAGUGGAAUUCCUGGUGUAGCGGUGAAAUGCGCAGAUAUCAGGAAGAACACCCGUGGCUAAGGCGGCUCUCUAGUACGGUACUGACGCUGAGACGCGAAAGCGUGGGGAGCGAACAGG